UACGAAGGGGGCUAGCGUUGCUCGGAAUUACUGGGCGUAAAGGGCGCGUAGGCGGAUAUUUAAGUUGGGGGUGAAAUCCCGGGGCUCAACCUCGGAAUUGCCUUCAAAACUGGAUAUCUUGAGUUCGGGAGAGGUGAGUGGAAUUCCCGGUGUAGCGGUGAAAUGCGCAGAUAUCGGGAAGAACACCCGUGGCGAAGGCGGCUCUCUGGGACGGUACUGACGCUGAGACGCGAAAGCGUGGGGAGCGAACAGG
This 253-nucleotide ribosomal RNA is filed under the name uncultured bacterium. Its description in RNAcentral is "partial 16S ribosomal RNA". It matches the Rfam family "Bacterial small subunit ribosomal RNA", at positions 524 to 776 of the family's 1533-position model. The record is from RNAcentral.